Molecule: ribosomal RNA, 253 nt
Filed under: uncultured bacterium
Lineage: Bacteria
Description: partial 16S ribosomal RNA
Rfam family: Bacterial small subunit ribosomal RNA
Source: RNAcentral
UACAGAGGGUGCGAGCGUUGCUCGGAAUCACCGGGCGUAAAGGGUGCGUAGGCGGGGCUUUAAGUCAGGGGUGAAAUCCUGGAGCUCAACUCCAGAACUGCCUUUGAUACUGAGGAUCUUGAGUUCGGGAGAGGUGAGUGGAACUGCGAGUGUAGAGGUGAAAUUCGUAGAUAUUCGCAAGAACACCAGUGGCGAAGGCGGCUCACUGGCCCGAUACUGACGCUGAGGCACGAAAGCGUGGGGAGCAAACAGG